Molecule: long non-coding RNA, 306 nt
Organism: Chelmon rostratus (copperband butterflyfish)
Lineage: Eukaryota; Metazoa; Chordata; Actinopteri; Chaetodontiformes; Chaetodontidae
Exons: 3
Source: RefSeq, a predicted model, not a curated record
CCAAGUUAAACAGCAGAUGGCACAGGACGUCCCGCGGCCGGCGGGGAGCUGACACUGAGUCUGCUGACAGAAUCCUGCUGAGAUGGUCUUCAUGUGUGACACGGAGGAAACCAGCAGCCCCACCUGCAGAUUUUGUCACCUCCUCUGUGGUCACAUGUUGCUCUCUGCUGUGAAGGGAUGCAGCAGCAGCCACGUGAUCAGCACAGCCUUCAGUGAGUGAGCAACCAGGAAGUGAUCCGGGCCAAUGAAAGAGCAGGAGUCAGACAAUUUAACAUGUAAAACAAGCAGAAUAAAAACUAAUGAUGC